GACGAACGCUGGCGGCGUGCUUAACACAUGCAAGUCGAACGGAAAGGCCCUGCUUUUGUGGGGUGCUCGAGUGGCGAACGGGUGAGUAACACGUGAGUAACAUGCCCUUGACUUUGGGAUAACUUCAGGAAACUGGGGCUAAUACCGGAUAGGAGCUCCUGCUGCAUGGUGGGGGUUGGAAAGUUUCGGCGGUUGGGGAUGGACUCGCGGCUUAUCAGCUUGUUGGUGGGGUAGUGGCUUACCAAGGCUUUGACGGGUAGCCGGCCUGAGAGGGUGACCGGCCACAUUGGGACUGAGAUACGGCCCAGACGCCUACGGGAGGCAGCAGUGGGGAAUAUUGCACAAUGGGCGGAAGCCUGAUGCAGCAACGCCGCGUGCGGGAGGACGGCCUUCGGGUUGUAAACCGCUUUCGCCUGUGACGAAGCGUGAGUGGCGGUAAUGGGUAAAGAAGCACCGGCUAACUACGU
Molecule: ribosomal RNA, 467 nt
Filed under: uncultured bacterium
Lineage: Bacteria
Description: partial 16S ribosomal RNA
Rfam family: Bacterial small subunit ribosomal RNA
Source: RNAcentral